AGAUUGUGAAAUAGGCACACAUGGGCAGUUAAGCAACAAGCUCUCAAGGGUUCACCCUGCAAUUACAUCCCUGAAAUGAAGAGGCAAAAGGCGAGGAAGCAACAAUGGGACACUCGCCAUUGGAAUGGAAUCAGGAUUUGAUGUGAUGCAACGUGACUUGCUCAUGGCACAGACAGAAUAUCAAAUGAUCCAUGUGAAAUUCAACCCUUGGUAUAACCUUUCUAUUAUCUCUAUUAUUCUUCCAUCUGACUGAGGCCUUACAGAAUAUUUCUCACGUCUUGUAGUCUUUUGAAGAAUGCUGAAAGUAAGCAUAUUCCCUGGAACUCUUGUGGAAGUACGUGAUAAUAAAUCAGAAAAUGAUGGCAUUUGGAGUCAGAAGACCUGGUCUGAAGUUUUGAGGCUUUUAAUUGGGAGUGAAGCCAGCUAUGCAGAUGUCUAACUACAAAAUAACAGAUGAGAGCUGUACACGAGAGACUCACAAUGAAUUGAGCAAAGAAAUUGGGACUCUGGAAUUUAAUUAUCUGUGAGCAUGUCAUCACAAUCAACUUUAAGAGAGAAAUCACAGCUAUUUGUACAAUAUUAUAAGUAUUAAUUAUGCCUUGCUCACAACCAAAUGUUACAUGUUAAUGUGGAAGUUUGUCUUUCAGAGAAUUUCAGAGAAUGUCUACAGCUUGUCAAGAGCAUCCUGAUGUAUUCAUAUCACAACAGUGAAAAAAUGUCUUAAACCCAAGGAUCUUGAUAAUUCUCCAGAAGUUGGUGUACACAAUGCCUUGUCUCAAGAUGCAAACUUAUCCUGACUACUUGGAGCCAGAGUAUAAAGGGAGUCCUACCAUCUCCAUAUAUCUAGUUACCAAAAAGGUGUAUCGUAUACUAGUCAAUGUGACCAGCAUACCUUGGUUAUGAUGAAAUAUGUGUAUAAUUAUGUUUCUAUCUGACUUAAAAUUGACAAACAAUUAAGUACAACUAAAUUUAAUUAUUGCUCAUCUACA
This is a non-coding RNA of Ictidomys tridecemlineatus (thirteen-lined ground squirrel), 989 nucleotides long. The record is from RefSeq and is a predicted model, not a curated record. NCBI's taxonomy places the organism in Eukaryota, Metazoa, Chordata, Mammalia, Rodentia, Sciuridae.